Molecule: long non-coding RNA, 2671 nt
Organism: Tympanuchus pallidicinctus (lesser prairie-chicken)
Lineage: Eukaryota; Metazoa; Chordata; Aves; Galliformes; Phasianidae
Exons: 2
Source: RefSeq, a predicted model, not a curated record
AGAGCUCUCCUUUGUGGAGUUAUCCUCUGGGAUGCCAGAUCUUUGGAGAUGGCUGGGAGUUAUUUCAUCUGUACAUACCUAUAGAGGUGAAUGUCGCUGUGGGUGAUGCAAGAUGUGAGCCCUGAUUAUGGUUCUCCACCCAUCAACUGUACAGCAGCACUCGCCUUGUUCUUAGUUAUUCUUAUGCUACAGGGGGGUCUCUGCCUUUGUAAAUGGAUAAAAAAGAUUGUGGAAAGAGACAAAGAGUCUUGAAAGAAUCUUUUCUUGCUUUCUUGUGUUUCAAAGAUACACAAUUUGUCUUGGAAAUAAAAUGUGAGUCACUACUCCUUGUAGCACCUCUCCCUUUCCCCGAAGAGGGGAAGUAACAGAAACUAAAACUGUAUUAUCUGGACUAUAGUUUAAAAUAGCCAGUAUAAUUAGUUCAAACUAUCGCUUCAAGAAAGUGCAUACAUUAGUCAAAUAACAUCUGCCAUCCAGUGCCUAAGCUUAAAUGUGAUCUGUGUAUCUGAAAACUCUUCUUGUAAUUUCAGCCCAGUUUAAUAUCACUAACACUGAAGUAUGCAGACAAAAGCAGACUAGUUCCAAAACAACAGCAAUGAUAUUCCUACUGCUGUUACUUAGUAUCUGUGGACUGUGUACAGCUUUUUUUAGAAAUCAAGCCUCUUGUAGACCCAACACUGGUAAGACCAUACUGUGGUUUAAUGUUACAUAUCCUGUAAGUUACGUCAGUUUAAUUUUGCGUGUACUAAGAACAUUGUAUGAAGAUGGAAAUUUUGCUGUAUUUUAAGGCUGAUUUUAAUAUUUGCCAGAUGCCACUACUCUAAGAAUUAUUAAUUUUAAAAGCAUUUCAACUUGGACAUCUGAAAACUGAGAUACCAUGCAAAAUGUCGUAUCAUGGUACUCUAAUGCAGCUCUUAGCACCUCCCAGACCACUUUUUCUACAGAGAGGUCACAUAGGGAUUAAUGCACUAAGGGACUUAUGCCUAUGGUGCACUACUUCCUGCUGAGUCUGUGUUCCACUGUAUUUGCCACUGGCUUGCUGCUAGUUUGCAGCUGCUUUGGGUGGUUCUUAGUUUAUAAUACCAUUCAGUAAUACAGUCCACAUAAAAUCUGCAUUGCUUAAGUAAUAAAUAUUUGAUAUAAUUGCCUUUUUCUCAAAAGGGCUGUUUCCCCAAGGCUGUGCUAUCUCAGUAAAGCAGCAUGUGUUUCUCUCUGCUGUUUCAGUGCAGUUGUAGUACCAUCUUUAUAUGUAGUUUCCAAAUCUACAUGCUCAUCAGGCCUGCCCUGGCACAAGGCUUUACUGUGAGUCAGCCCCUCUGUCUAUAGAAGUUACCUGUAUUCAUUCUUAGUCUUCUCCUUCUGUCUUACCAAGAGGAGCUGCUUUUCCUGCCUUUCUGCCGCUUGUAAGCCAUGCUGCUGAUUACUUUAAAAAAGGUGUACUUCAUGUUUGCUGUCAACAUCAAGAGCACAUUUUUGAACAAGACAUUCAAUUCAACUGGAACAGAGAUUGUAUAAAUUCCUAUUACCUUUCAAAACUUCAGUAAAAUUAAGCAAUAGAUGUUUUGUGAUUUUAAUGAGAUCACACAUUCCUGAUUCAAUGAUAUCAAAGGUUUUCUGUACUGGGAUAAGGACUAUCAGCUCCUGAUGCUCCCACUGGUCAGUGGGAAUUACUGAAGCAGUCUCACACCAAGUUCUGCCAGUGAAUUUUGUUUCAUAGCAUCUGAUGUCUGCAGGAGUGCUUAUGAAACUUGCAUUUUUUUAAACAUAAAUAUUUACAGGAUCUCUGCCUUCAGAAGGCAUAUUUAAGUUGUCAUGACAUCCAAAGAACUAAUAAUUUGCCGCAUUAGGUCAUUCUCAUUUUAUUUUUCUUAUAUUUAUAUUCUCAAAUCUCAAUUUUAAUGUCAGGGAAUAAAGAGGAAAAAACAGGGAAUUCCCUUCUGAGUACAUAUGAAUUUCUAAUAGCAGAACCUUGGUAGUUUUUCACACUCGUACCUCCAAAUGGCUCAAGAACUUUGAAUGUCUCCAUGUAGUGGAAAAAUUAUAUCCCAGCUGUGCUCUUGUAUUCAAAUUUCUGUUAAAAUAUGAGGCUCAUGCCACCACCCUAUUAUCAAAGCUGAAAAGGCAAGCACUCUUUCUCAUGCUAUUUAAAAUAAUACCAGAAUUUAAUUGUGAUUGAUUUAGAACUCUUUUGCAAAUUAGUGGUCUAUGUUAAAGAACUGGUUUUCUGUCAAAUCUGGAUUUGAGCAAAAUCAAGAUUAGAAAAGAUAUGACAAAAUACUUUAGAAUUUACCAUAAUUUGGGAAUAUUUUAGCAAGAUCCUUAUUGUAAAGUCAUUCCCUAUUAUAAUGUAUUCUAGACCUUACCUUCAUCUGUAUACCAAAAAAACAAUGUAUCAUGAAUUGUUUAUGUUUUAAAGUAUUAUCUUUGCUUACUCUCUUGCUAGUUGUUUGGGAUUCUUACUGUUGUCUUUUGGUAGUAAUUUCAUUUUAUCUCGUGCUGUAUUUUUGCCUUUUUCUUUUUCAAAAUUGUCUUAUAGACAAAGCCUGUUAUAUUUCUGUGUCUGUAAUAGUUAAGCAAAUACAUAUAGUAACUACAUGAUGGGGAGAUCAGUCAGAAUUGUCUUUGUCUUAAACAUUUGAAACUGUCUGUAAAUUACAAACAUUUCAAAAGA